GGAUGAGGCAAGAUCGGCUCUGGGAUCACUCACUGUUCUUCCUGAAGGAGGAGUGACUGGCCAGCGGCACCUGAACCCGGCGCCCCGGAGGUGAACCCAGACAGACCCGAGGAGGAGCCUGUGUCCUGUGCCCUUGGGAGGCUUCUCACUGGUUAGUGCGUGUGUUCGUGCGCGCGUGUGUGUGUAUGUGUGUGUGCACGUGUAUUUGUGCCUGUGUUUGUAUGCGUGUUUUCUCUGCAGGUUCCGGAGCCAUCGUGGCUGCCAUCGUGGUGGUUGUCGUCAUCAUUGUCACCUUGGUGCUGAUCUUGCUGAAGAUGUACAACAGGAGAAUGAGGACCAGGCGGGAGCUGGAGCCCAAGAGCCCAAAGCCACCUGUCCCUCCUGCCCUGGACCCAAACAGCAAUGGCAGCCAGCAGCCUGCCGCUGUGACCUCCGACCCUGCCGAUGUCCCUGUGGAGACUCGGUGACCCUGCCUUGGUGCCAUCCCUGCCUGUGCAAAGAGCUCGUAUGACCUGAAAGUCCACUCUGCUGGCAGCUUCACCGAGUCCUUUCUGGUUGGGUAAACUGAGGCACGUUUCAUACAGCCCCUGCAGCUUGAAGCCUUCCUCACCUACAUUGUGCUCUGGCCAUCCCAGCUUUGUCCGUGUUCCUGCUGCCACUCAACCAAAGCUCUGAGGACAUUCUUUUGUUAUCUGAUGAGAAGCACUGUGCUGGGG
This 716-nucleotide long non-coding RNA is filed under the name Rattus norvegicus (Norway rat). Its description in RNAcentral is "long non-coding RNA NONRATT023718". The record is from RNAcentral. Lineage: Eukaryota; Metazoa; Chordata; Mammalia; Rodentia; Muridae.